AUGAACGCUGGCGGCGUGCCUAAUACAUGCAAGUCGAGCGAACAGACGAGGAGCUUGCUCCUCUGAUGUUAGCGGCGGACGGGUGAGUAACACGUGGAUAACCUACCUAUAAGACUGGGAUAACUUCGGGAAACCGGAGCUAAUACCGGAUAACAUGUUGAACCGCAUGGUUCAACAGUGAAAGACGGUCUUGCUGUCACUUAUAGAUGGAUCCGCGCCGCAUUAGCUAAUUGGUAAGGUAACGGCUUACCAAGGCAACGAUGCGUAGCCGACCUGAGAGGGUGAUCGGCCACACUGGAACUGAGACACGGUCCAGACUCCUACGGGAGGCAGCAGUAGGGAAUCUUCCGCAAUGGGCGAAAGCCUGACGGAGCAACGCCGCGUGAGUGAAGAAGGUCUUCGGAUCGUAAAACUCUGUUAUUAGGGAAGAACAAAUGUGUAAGUAACAAUGCACGUCUUGACGGUACCUAAUCAGAAAGCCACGGCUAACUACGUG
RNAcentral lists this ribosomal RNA (496 nucleotides) under uncultured bacterium. Its description in RNAcentral is "partial 16S ribosomal RNA". It matches the Rfam family "Bacterial small subunit ribosomal RNA", at positions 29 to 507 of the family's 1533-position model. The record is from RNAcentral.